This 329-nucleotide ribosomal RNA is filed under the name uncultured eukaryote. Its description in RNAcentral is "partial 18S ribosomal RNA". It matches the Rfam family "Eukaryotic small subunit ribosomal RNA", at positions 1470 to 1796 of the family's 1831-position model. The record is from RNAcentral.
CCCUUCGAUGUUCUGGGCCGCACGCGCGCUACACUGUUUGAUUCAGCGAGUCUUAACCUUGACCGAAAGGUUUGGGUAAUCUUCUAAAGUCAAACGUGAUGGGGAUCGAUCAUUGCAAUUAUUGAUCGUGAACGAGGAAUUCCUAGUAAAUGCAAGUCAUCAGCUUGCGUUGAUUACGUCCCUGCCCUUUGUACACACCGCCCGUCGCUACUACCGAUUGAAUGGUUUAGUGAGAUCUCCGGAUUGGCUCUGUAGGUCCCGCAAGGGAUUUAUUAGUAGCCAAGAAGCUGCUCAAACUUGAUCAUUUAGAGGAAGUAAAAGUCGUAACA